UUAUCCCUACGGACGCAGCAGUGGGGAAUAUUGCGCAAUGGACGAAAGUCUGACGCAGCGACGCCGCGUGAGGGAUGAAGGUUUUCGGAUCGUAAACCUCUGUCAGGAGGGAAGGAAGCGCAUGGCGCCAAUCAGCCAUGCGUUGACGGUACCUCCAAAGGAAGCGCCGGCUAACUCCGUGCCAGCAGCCGCGGUAAUACGGAGGGCGCGAGCGUUAAUCGGAAUUACUGGGCGUAAAGCGCGCGUAGGCUGUUGUGUAAGUUGGGGGUGAAAUCCCACGGCUCAACCGUGGAACAGCACUAGAA
RNAcentral lists this ribosomal RNA (305 nucleotides) under uncultured bacterium. RNAcentral describes it as "bacterial SSU rRNA". It matches the Rfam family "Bacterial small subunit ribosomal RNA", at positions 333 to 631 of the family's 1533-position model. The record is from RNAcentral.